Molecule: ribosomal RNA, 251 nt
Filed under: uncultured bacterium
Lineage: Bacteria
Description: partial 16S ribosomal RNA
Rfam family: Bacterial small subunit ribosomal RNA
Source: RNAcentral
UACGUAGGGUGCAAGCGUUGUCCGGAAUUACUGGGCGUAAAGAGCUCGUAGGUGGUUUGUCGCGUCGUCUGUGAAAUCCCGGGGCUUAACUUCGGGCGUGCAGGCGAUACGGGCAUAACUUGAGUGCUGUAGGGGAGACUGGAAUUCCUGGUGUAGCGGUGAAAUGCGCAGAUAUCAGGAGGAACACCGAUGGCGAAGGCAGGUCUCUGGGCAGUUACUGACGCUGAGGAGCGAAAGCAUGGGUAGCGAAC